Molecule: ribosomal RNA, 253 nt
Filed under: uncultured bacterium
Lineage: Bacteria
Description: partial 16S ribosomal RNA
Rfam family: Bacterial small subunit ribosomal RNA
Source: RNAcentral
UACGUAGGGGGCAAGCGUUGUCCGGAAUCAUUGGGCGUAAAGCGCGUGUAGGCGGCCCGAUAAGUCCGCUGUGAAAGUCCAGGGCUCAACCCUGGGAUGCCGGUGGAUACUGUCGGGCUCGAGUCCGGAAGAGGCGAGUGGAAUUCCUGGUGUAGCGGUGAAAUGCGUAGAUAUCGGGAGGAACACCUGUGGCGAAGGCGGCCCCCUGGUUGGAUACUGACGCUGAGGAGCGAAAGCGUGGGUAGCAAACAGG